UUAGAAAGUCAAACUUAACUAAAUGCCAAAU
RNAcentral lists this non-coding RNA (31 nucleotides) under Rattus norvegicus (Norway rat). The record is from RNAcentral. Lineage: Eukaryota; Metazoa; Chordata; Mammalia; Rodentia; Muridae.